This 461-nucleotide ribosomal RNA is filed under the name uncultured bacterium. RNAcentral's name for it is "partial 16S ribosomal RNA". It matches the Rfam family "Bacterial small subunit ribosomal RNA", at positions 338 to 795 of the family's 1533-position model. The record is from RNAcentral.
CCUACGGGAGGCAGCAGUGAGGAAUAUUGGUCAAUGGACGCAAGUCUGAACCAGCCAAGUAGCGUGCAGGAUGACGGCCCUCCGGGUUGUAAACUGCUUUUAGUUGGGAAUAAAAGGGGGCUCGUGAGCCCCGUCUUGUAUGUACCAUCAGAAAAAGGACCGGCUAAUUCCGUGCCAGCAGCCGCGGUAAUACGGAAGGUCCGGGCGUUAUCCGGAUUUAUUGGGUUUAAAGGGAGCGUAGGCCGGCUUUUAAGUCAGCGGUAAAAUCGUGGAGCUCAACUCCAUCCAGCCGUUGAAACUGAUGAUCUUGAGUGGGCGAGAAGUAUGCGGAAUGCGUGGUGUAGCGGUGAAAUGCAUAGAUAUCACGCAGAACUCCGAUUGCGAAGGCAGCAUACCGGAGCCCGACUGACGCUGAAGCACGAAAGCGUGGGUAUCGAACAGGAUUAGAUACCCCUGUAGUC